This 253-nucleotide ribosomal RNA is filed under the name uncultured bacterium. RNAcentral's name for it is "partial 16S ribosomal RNA". It matches the Rfam family "Bacterial small subunit ribosomal RNA", at positions 524 to 776 of the family's 1533-position model. The record is from RNAcentral.
UACAGAGGUGGCAAGCGUUGUUCGGAAUUACUGGGCGUAAAGGGCGUGUAGGUGGUUUCGUAAGUCUGGCGUGAAAUUUUUCGGCUUAACCGGGAAAGGUCGUCGGAUACUGCGGAGCUAGAGGACGGUAGAGGCGUGUGGAAUUCCGGGUGUAGUGGUGAAAUGCGUAGAGAUCCGGAGGAACACCAGUGGCGAAGGCGACACGCUGGGCCGUACCUGACACUGAUGCGCGACAGCAUGGGGAGCAAACAGG